Molecule: ribosomal RNA, 536 nt
Filed under: uncultured bacterium
Lineage: Bacteria
Description: bacterial SSU rRNA
Rfam family: Bacterial small subunit ribosomal RNA
Source: RNAcentral
AGAGUUUGAUCCUGGCUCAGAAUCAACGCUGGCGGCAUGCCUAACACAUGCAAGUCGAACGCGGUUUCCUCGCAAGGGGAAACUGAGUGGCGAACGGGUGAGUAACGCGUGGGUGACCUACCUCCGAGUGGGGGAUAACGUCCCGAAAGGGACGCUAAUACCGCAUGACAUCCUGCCCUUGAACGGGUGGAGAUCAAAGCUGGGGAUCGCAAGACCCGGCGCUUGAAGAGGGGCCCGCGUCCGAUUGGCUAGUUGGUGAGGUAACGGCUCACCAAGGCGACGAUCGGUAUCCGGCCUGAGAGGGCGGACGGACACACUGGGACUGAGACACGGCCCAGACUCCUACGGGAGGCAGCAGUGGGGAGUUGUUCACAAUGGGCGCAAGCCUGAUGACGCAAUGCCGCGUGGAGGAUGAAGGUCUUCGGAUUGUAAACUCCUGUUGCCAGGGGCGAAUGGCUCCGACCUAACACGUCGGAGAAUGACGGUACCUGGUGAGGAAGCCCCGGCUAACUCUGUGCCAGCCGCCGCGGUAAUAC